Molecule: long non-coding RNA, 1038 nt
Organism: Betta splendens (Siamese fighting fish)
Lineage: Eukaryota; Metazoa; Chordata; Actinopteri; Anabantiformes; Osphronemidae
Exons: 2
Source: RefSeq, a predicted model, not a curated record
CCUCCUCAGUCAGAGACACUGAGCUGUUACAGCAGGAACCAACUGCAGCUGCUGAAGAGGAACAGACUCUGACACAGACACUGAACUCAGACCUGAAACUAACCUCAACAAACACCAAUGUGUUGUCAUUGUGCCAUUUAAAAACACAAACAGGAAUAUUAAGCAAUACUUUAUCUAACUGUACCACAAAUUUGUGUUUCUAGUUAAAUUUACAAUGUUUUCAAUGAAAACCUAAAACAUUAGUGUAAUAAUCACCUAAAAACAAAUAGCAUAAGAACUGAGUGCCUUUGACCUCUGACCUUUGUCCUUCAUAAUGUGCUUGAUUUGCUGCUAGAGGCUGGUGUAGCAAUCCACGUCUGGACCUAGGUAACUUAACACAACGUGUGAGCUUCACUCCCUUCCACAGAGACAAAGCUGCGAUUCACGAGAAGAUAAGAAUACACACAGUUCCUGUCUAUUCCACAGGACACUGUUUGCUCGCACGACAGAACUACCAAGACCUGUCUCAUAAUUUCUCUACCAAGACUCACUCCAUGGACUCUCCCACUCGUCCAGGAGAUCUGGAUCGUAAACCAGGAAUGUGAAGCAAUAAAAAGGAAAACUCUUCAUUUGGACACAAGUUCUGGUUCAGAUGUAGCAGAACCUUCAACUGUCAAGAAACAGAUGCCAUUGUACUCUUUGGACAAAAUGUUUUUAUUUGAUAUUAGAUUGGGUUCUUUGUGAUGUUCAAUGCCUGAUCUACAGAUUUGCCAGGAAAUUCCUCAAGUUACAAAGGGACUUCAACUUAUCACCACGCUUUCCUUUGUGUGAAGACACAAAGUUGAAAUACAGAUACUCACCUUCUUUACUUCUUUUAAUCUGUGCAACAUACACAUAGACUAUGUCCACCAGCUACAUUUAGGUAUCCUCAUUAUUGUAUUACAUUUUUAAGUGUUUAAUUUAAUUAAGUUUACAAUUGUUUAAUUAGUAAUGUCCAGAUUAGGUCAUUUAUAAUUUGAUUUUGCUUGCAUUUAUUAUUCGUGUAUGUUUUACUGUUUA